This 254-nucleotide ribosomal RNA is filed under the name uncultured bacterium. RNAcentral's name for it is "partial 16S ribosomal RNA". It matches the Rfam family "Bacterial small subunit ribosomal RNA", at positions 524 to 776 of the family's 1533-position model. The record is from RNAcentral.
UACGGGGGGAGCAAGCGUUGUUCGGAUUUACUGGGCGUAAAGGGCGCGUAGGCGGUCAGCACAAGUCAGUUGUGAAAUCUCCGGGCUUAACUCGGAAAGGUCAACUGAUACUGUGCGACUAGAGUGCAGAAGGGGCAACUGGAAUUCUCGGUGUAGCGGUGAAAUGCGUAGAUAUCGAGAGGAACACCUGCGGCGAAGGCGGGUUGCUGGGCUGACACUGACGCUGAUAAGCGAAAGCGUGGGGAGCGAACAGG